GUCUUUAGAAGGUGCUAUUCAUAUUUCUGUCUUGAAAAAUACUUCCCAUGGUUUACCCCUGGCUUCUUCGCUUUUGACGGUUCUCCCUCGUUGGGGAGGGCGCCGCCGGGGUAGGGAAGCCCGGGCCGAGCCCAGACGCGGGCGCAAGUCUGGAGAAGCGCGCGGCCCCCAAGAGUUCGGCCUACGACGCCCGGCUGCGCCAGAAGGUGGCGGUGAAGAAGCUGUCGCGCCCCUUCCAGUCGCUGAUCCACGCGCGCAGAACGUACCGGGAGCUGCGGCUGCUCAAGCACCUGAAGCACGAGAACGUACUUGGUGACCACCCUGAUGGGCGCCGACCUGAACAACAUCGUCAAGUGCCAGGCGCUGAGCGACGAGCACGUUCAAUUCCUGGUUUACCAGCUGCUGCGCGGGCUGAAGUACAUCCACUCGGCCGGGAUCAUCCACCGGGUAGGUGCGACCGCAGGGUGAGGGUCGGGUCCAGCAGGGCUCCGUCCCAGCCUCCUGUGCUCACGCUCCGCGUGACCUGCAGGACCUGAAGCCCAGCAACGUGGCUGUGAACGAGGACU
RNAcentral lists this long non-coding RNA (566 nucleotides) under Homo sapiens (human). RNAcentral's name for it is "non-protein coding lnc-MAPK11-1:1". The record is from RNAcentral. Lineage: Eukaryota; Metazoa; Chordata; Mammalia; Primates; Hominidae.